GUCGAGCGCGGGAAGCAAGUUGAUCCCUUCGGGGUGACGCUUGUGGAACGAGCGGCGGACGGGUGAGUAACACGUGGGCAACCUGCCUGUAAGAUUGGGAUAACUCCGGGAAACCGGGGCUAAUACCGAAUAACACUUUUACUCUCAUGAGUUUAAGUUGAAAGGCGGCUUUUUGCUGUUUUUUUUUCAUGGGGCCGUGGCGCAUUAGCUAGUUGGUAGGGUAAUGGCCUACCAAGGCGACGAUGCGUAACCGACCUGAGAGGGUGAUCGGCAACACUGAGACUGAGACACGGCCCAGACUCCUACAGAAGGCACCAAUACGGAAUCUUCCGCAAUGGACGAAAGUCUGACCGAUGAACGCCACGUGAACGAUGAAGGCUUUCGGGUCGUAAAGUUCUGUUGUUAGGGAAGAACAAUUACCGUUCAAAUAAGGCGGUACCUUGACGGUACCUAGCGAGGAAGCCCCGGCUAACUACGUGCCACCCGCCGCGGUAAUACCUAGGGGGCACGCGUUGUCCGGAAUUAUUGGGCGUAUAGCGCGCGCUUGCGGUUCCUUAACUCUGAUGUGAAAUCUCGGGGCUCAUCCGCGAGCGGUCGUUGCAAACUGGAGAACUUGAUUACAAAAGAGGAGAGUGAAAUUCCACGAGUAGAGGUG
RNAcentral lists this ribosomal RNA (655 nucleotides) under Bacillaceae bacterium AD14. Its description in RNAcentral is "bacterial SSU rRNA". It matches the Rfam family "Bacterial small subunit ribosomal RNA", at positions 44 to 683 of the family's 1533-position model. The record is from RNAcentral. Lineage: Bacteria; Bacillati; Bacillota; Bacilli; Caryophanales; Bacillaceae.